Molecule: microRNA precursor, 69 nt
Filed under: Callithrix jacchus (white-tufted-ear marmoset)
Lineage: Eukaryota; Metazoa; Chordata; Mammalia; Primates; Cebidae
Also listed under: 2 other names
Description: microRNA cja-mir-432 precursor
Gene: cja-mir-432
Rfam family: mir-432 microRNA precursor family
Source: miRBase by way of RNAcentral
UCUUGGAGUAGGUCAUUGGGUGGAUCCUCUAUUUCCUUAUGUGGGCCACUGGAUGGCUCCUCCAUGUCU